GUGGGGAAUUGUUCGCAAUGGGCGCAAGCCUGACGACGCAACGCCGCGUGGAGGAUGAAGACCUUCGGGUCGUAAACUCCUUUCGAUCGAGACGAACGGCUCCCGGACGAAUAAUUCGGGAGAGUGACGGUACCGAGAGAAGAAGCCCCGGCUAACUCCGUGCCAGCAGCCGCGGUAAUACGGGGGGGGCAAGCGUUGUUCGGAAUUACUGGGCGUAAAGGGCUCGUAGGCUGCCAACUAAGUCAGACGUGAAAUCCCUCGGCUUAACCGGGGAACUGCGUCUGAUACUGGAUGGCUUGAGAUCGGGAGAGGGAUGCGGAAUUCCAGGUGUAGCGGUGAAAUGCGUAGAUAUCUGGAGGAACACCGGUGGCGAAGGCGGCAUCCUGGACCGACACUGACGCUGAGGAGCGAAAGCCAGGGGAGCAAACGGGAUUAGAUACCCCUGUAGUCC
RNAcentral lists this ribosomal RNA (451 nucleotides) under uncultured bacterium. RNAcentral's name for it is "bacterial SSU rRNA". It matches the Rfam family "Bacterial small subunit ribosomal RNA", at positions 354 to 796 of the family's 1533-position model. The record is from RNAcentral.